RNAcentral lists this ribosomal RNA (253 nucleotides) under uncultured bacterium. RNAcentral's name for it is "partial 16S ribosomal RNA". It matches the Rfam family "Bacterial small subunit ribosomal RNA", at positions 524 to 776 of the family's 1533-position model. The record is from RNAcentral.
UACGGGGGGGGCAAGCGUUGUUCGGAAUUACUGGGCGUAAAGGGUUCGUAGGUGGCCAAUUAAGUCAGACGUGAAAUCCCUCAGCUCAACUGGGGAACUGCGUCUGAGACUGGAUGGCUUGAGUGCAGGAGAGGAACGCGGAAUUCCAGGUGUAGCGGUGAAAUGCGUAGAGAUGUGGAGGAACACCAGUGGCGAAGGCGGCUUUCUGGUCUGUAACUGACGCUGAGGCGCGAAAGCGUGGGGAGCAAACAGG